UCAGAGUUUGAUCCUGGCUCGGGAUGAACGCUAGCGACAGGCUUAACACAUGCAAGUCGAGGGGCAGCGCGGCGGUGGCGACACCGCUGGCGGCGACCGGCGCACGGGUGAGUAACGCGUAUGCAACCUGCCGUCCGCAGGGGGAUAACCGGGGGAAACCCCGACUAAUACCGCAUAACCGCCUUGGCCGCAUGGCCGGGGCGUAAAAGAUUUAUCGGCGGGCGAUGGGCAUGCGUAGUAUUAGGUAGUUGGCGGGGCAGCGGCCCACCAAGCCCACGAUACUUAGGGGUUCUGAGAGGAAGGCCCCCCACAUUGGAACUGAGACACGGUCCAAACUCCUACGGGAGGCAGCAGUGAGGAAUAUUGGUCAAUGGGCGCGAGCCUGAACCAGCCAAGUCCCGUGAAGGACGACGGCCCUACGGGUUGUAAACUUCUUUAGUGCGGGGACAAAAAGGCGCACGAGUGCGCCGUUGAGGGUACCGCAAGAAUAAGCAUCGGCUAACUCCGUGCCAGCAGCCGCGGUAAUACGGAGGAUGCGAGCGUUAUCCGGAUUUAUUGGGUUUAAAGGGUGCGCAGGCGGCGCGUCAAGUCGGCGGUGAAAUUCCGGGGCUCAACCCCGGUCAGCCGCCGAAACUGGCGAGCUAGCGUAGGAGCGAGGGAUGCGGAAUGCGUUGUGUAGCGGUGAAAUGCAUAGAUAUGACGCAGAACCCCGAUUGCGAAGGCAGCAUCCCAGCUCCUUACGGACGCUGAGGCACGAAAGCGUGGGGAUCGAACAGGAUUAGAUACCCUGGUAGUCCACGCAGUAAACGAUGAGCGCUAUCCGUGCGGGGCGACUGGGCUCUGCGUGGAAAAGCAAAAGCGCUAAGCGCUCCACCUGGGGAGUACGCCGGCAACGGUGAAACUCAAAGGAAUUGACGGGGGCCCGCACAAGCGGAGGAACAUGUGGUUUAAUUCGAUGAUACGCGAGGAACCUUACCCGGGCUCGAACGCGGGAGGAACGGAGGGGAGACCCCGAGGCCAGCGAUGGCCUCCCGCGAGGUGCUGCAUGGUUGUCGUCAGCUCGUGCCGUGAGGUGUCGGCUUAAGUGCCAUAACGAGCGCAACCCCCGCGUCCAGUUGCCAGCACGCAGUGGUGGGGACUCUGGACGGACUGCCGGCGCAAGCCGCGAGGAAGGCGGGGAUGACGUCAAAUCAGCACGGCCCUUACGUCCGGGGCUACACACGUGUUACAAUGGCGCGUCACAGAGGGAAGCUGCCCGGCGACGGGUGGCGGAGCCGUAAAACGCGUCCCAGUUCGGAUCGGAGGCUGCAACCCGCCUCCGUGAAGCUGGAUUCGCUAGUAAUCGCGCAUCAGCCAUGGCGCGGUGAAUACGUUCCCGGGCCUUGUACACACCGCCCGUCAAGCCAUGGGAGCCGGGGGCGCCUGAAGACCGUAACCGCGAGGGGCGGCCAAGGGCGAGACCGGUGACUGGGGCUAAGUCGUAACAAGGUAGCCGUACCGGAAGGUGCGGCUGGAUCACCUCCUU
RNAcentral lists this ribosomal RNA (1525 nucleotides) under uncultured bacterium. RNAcentral's name for it is "16S ribosomal RNA". It matches the Rfam family "Bacterial small subunit ribosomal RNA". The record is from RNAcentral.